This 488-nucleotide ribosomal RNA is filed under the name uncultured bacterium. RNAcentral describes it as "bacterial SSU rRNA". It matches the Rfam family "Bacterial small subunit ribosomal RNA", at positions 8 to 518 of the family's 1533-position model. The record is from RNAcentral.
AGAAUUGAUCUUGGUUCAGGACGAACGCUGGCGGCAUGCCUAACACAUGCAAGUCGAACGGGGGUAGCAAUACCCUAGUGGCGAACGGGUGAGUAACACAUAAGCAAUCUGCCCUUCACAGGGGGAUAACAGCGGGAAACUGCUGCUAAUACCGCAUAAGGCCACGGCACCGCAUGGUACAGGGGUAAAAACGAAUCAGUGGUGAAGGAUGAGCUUAUGUCCCAUUAGCUAGUUGGUGAGAUAACAGCCCACCAAGGCGACGAUGGGUAGCCGACCUGAGAGGGUGAUCGGCCACACUGGAACUGAGACACGGUCCAGACUCCUACGGGAGGCAGCAGUGGGGAAUAUUGGGCAAUGGAAGGAAACUCUUACCCAGCAAUGCCGCGUGAGUGAAGAAGGUCUUCGGAUUGUAAAGCUCUUUGAUUGGGGACGAAGAAAGUGACGGUACCCAAAGAACAAGCCCCGGCUAACUACGUGCCAGCCGCCGC